RNAcentral lists this ribosomal RNA (176 nucleotides) under Salmonella enterica subsp. enterica serovar Kentucky. RNAcentral describes it as "partial 23S ribosomal RNA". It matches the Rfam family "Bacterial large subunit ribosomal RNA", at positions 1 to 177 of the family's 2925-position model. The record is from RNAcentral. Lineage: Bacteria; Pseudomonadati; Pseudomonadota; Gammaproteobacteria; Enterobacterales; Enterobacteriaceae.
GGUUAAGCGACUAAGCGUACACGGUGGAUGCCCUGGCAGUCAGAGGCGAUGAAGGACGUGCUAAUCUGCGAUAAGCGCCGGUAAGGUGAUAUGAACCGUUAUAACCGGCGAUUUCCGAAUGGGGAAACCCAGUGUGAUUCGUCACACUAUCGUUAACUGAAUACAUAGGUUAACGA